RNAcentral lists this non-coding RNA (44 nucleotides) under Schistosoma bovis. RNAcentral also lists the same sequence under 1 other name. Lineage: Eukaryota; Metazoa; Platyhelminthes; Trematoda; Strigeidida; Schistosomatidae. The record is from RNAcentral.
AUCCAGGUGACGAAUCCCAAAUAGGGCGAAACGUGUGUCUGGAU